This 474-nucleotide ribosomal RNA is filed under the name Bacilli bacterium oral taxon C43. RNAcentral's name for it is "bacterial SSU rRNA". It matches the Rfam family "Bacterial small subunit ribosomal RNA", at positions 28 to 488 of the family's 1533-position model. The record is from RNAcentral. Lineage: Bacteria; Bacillati; Bacillota; Bacilli.
GACGAACGCUGGCGGCGUGCCUAAUACAUGCAAGUCGAGCGGAGUUUUUAAAAGCUUGCUUUUAAAAACUCAGCGGCGGACGGGUGAGUAACACGUGGGCAACCUGCCCUGUAGACUGGGAUAACUUCGGGAAACCGAAGCUAAUACCGGAUAAUCAUAGAAGUUGCAUAGCUUCUAUGUAAAAGUUGGGUUUACCUAACACUACAGGAUGGGCCCGCGUCGCAUUAGCUAGUUGGUAAGGUAACGGCUUACCAAGGCGACGAUGCGUAGCCGACCUGAGAGGGUGAUCGGCCACACUGGGACUGAGACACGGCCCAGACUCCUACGGGAGGCAGCAGUAGGGAAUCUUCCGCAAUGGACGAAAGUCUGACGGAGCAACGCCGCGUGAGCGAUGAAGGCCUUCGGGUCGUAAAGCUCUGUUGUUAGGGAAGAAACAAAGUGCUAUUCGAAUAAGGGUGGCAACCCUGGCGGACC